ACUUGAGUCAAAUAUGGAUUUGGUAUAAAGUCCCUUUGGAGUUCGAUCUAGAACUCUCCAUGGUUGGCGAUCGAGUAAACAAUCCACCUAUUGACCGACUAGGUGUAUAUUUUGAAGAAGCACUCCGAGCGGACUUAAGAUUUUCUAUUCUUCCUUUCAUCCUUGAUGUCUUCCAUUUUUACAACCUUUUCUUUUGCGCGAUUAUCCCGAACUCUUUUAGGUUUGUUGUAGGCUAUUUGGUCAUUUGUGUUAUGGCGAACGUUCAGUCAUCCAUC
RNAcentral lists this long non-coding RNA (275 nucleotides) under Elaeis guineensis (African oil palm). RNAcentral's name for it is "long non-coding RNA (EGUI_LNC036329)". Lineage: Eukaryota; Viridiplantae; Streptophyta; Magnoliopsida; Arecales; Arecaceae. The record is from RNAcentral.